UGAUGUUUUCUUGAUUGUUGUUUUCCUUGCUUGCAGGUGGUCUUCCCAACCCAGGGACCCAACACACAUCUCCUGCAAGUCUCCUGCAUUGCAGGGGAAUUCUUUGCUGCUGAGCUACCAGGAAACACUCAUUGCAUGUUCUUGGAGCUCUUGUCAAAUAGCUGACAUCUCUGCCGCCCACACCCACACCCUGCGGUCUGUGCUGCCAACGGCAUCUCCUCCGCGACUCUAAGCUCGGCGGCUGCCAUCUUCCCCGUGGACAUCACUGCAGGCCCAUCACCGUCUGGCACAGUCUCUCCUGCCAUGUCUGCCACAGAGGAGCACGACUGGAUGCCAGUUCCGGUCCCAAAGUCUGUAUUAUACUUCACGAAAGAAGCGAGUGAUUAUCAGUAUGAAGAGUCUGAUGAAGAGGUCCAAGAAGCUGAAGGUGAGGAGGAGGACAGCGAUAAAAAACCAGAAGAAGGACCUGGAAAGGACCUGGACCCAGCAGAGGACAGCCCCGGAGAACCCAGCUGUCAAGCAUAGAAAGACAUGAUGGAGGAAGAAACAAUGGACGUGUCCCUCACGAAUGAGAUUUUCGGCUUCUCAGUAGCCAGUGGGAAUUUUAUCAACACUGGUUUUGUUCCAGAUUUCAUCAUGUGAAAUGUCUUAUCCACUGACAUCUGACUUUUUUUCUUACAUUUGUCAGAUAUAUUUGACUGCGUUUGUUCAUGAUAAAAAUAAAAAUUUGCUAGCCAUGGAUAAGCCGCAGAUUUUUCUGAUGUGUAACACUGAUGCAAAUCUUGUAUCUUUUUGUUUUUG
Molecule: long non-coding RNA, 801 nt
Organism: Bos taurus (domestic cattle)
Lineage: Eukaryota; Metazoa; Chordata; Mammalia; Artiodactyla; Bovidae
Source: Ensembl